AUUGCUUCUCAGCCUUUUGGCUAAGAUCAAGUGGAAUUAUCUGCAUUCUCUUGUAGCUCUCUAGGUUUCAGUAAUAUAAACACUUUGAAUUUUUUUGUCAAAGAUCUCACAGACUUCCUCUUCUCUUAUGUCACUUACUGAAAAUGCAUUGUCUUCCUUUGGUGAUAUCAUGU
Molecule: small nuclear RNA, 173 nt
Filed under: Canis lupus familiaris (dog)
Lineage: Eukaryota; Metazoa; Chordata; Mammalia; Carnivora; Canidae
Description: U2 spliceosomal RNA (multiple genes)
Rfam family: U2 spliceosomal RNA
About the family: U2 is a small nuclear RNA (snRNA) component of the spliceosome (involved in pre-mRNA splicing). Complementary binding between U2 snRNA (in an area lying towards the 5' end but 3' to hairpin I) and the branchpoint sequence (BPS) of the intron results the bulging out of an unpaired adenosine, on the BPS, which initiates a nucleophilic attack at the intronic 5' splice site, thus starting the first of two transesterification reactions that mediate splicing.
Source: Rfam by way of RNAcentral